GACGUAGGAUCCGAGCGUUGUCCGGAAUUACUGGGUGUAAAGGGCGUGUAGGUGGGUUCCUAAGUCGGAGGUGAAAUCCCGCAGCUUAACUGCGGAAUUGCCUUCGAUACUGGGGAUCUUGAGUGCGGCAGAGGGAGAUGGAAUUCAUGGUGUAGCGGUGAAAUGUGUAGAUAUCAUGAAGAACACCGGUAGCGAAGGCGGUCUCCUGGUCCGUAACUGUCACUGAUGCGCGAAAGCGUGGGGAGCAAACAGG
This 253-nucleotide ribosomal RNA is filed under the name uncultured bacterium. RNAcentral's name for it is "partial 16S ribosomal RNA". It matches the Rfam family "Bacterial small subunit ribosomal RNA", at positions 524 to 776 of the family's 1533-position model. The record is from RNAcentral.